Molecule: long non-coding RNA, 184 nt
Organism: Hydra vulgaris (swiftwater hydra)
Lineage: Eukaryota; Metazoa; Cnidaria; Hydrozoa; Anthoathecata; Hydridae
Source: RefSeq, a predicted model, not a curated record
UAAAAUAAAGAUAUUGCAAUGCGUAUCAUUUUUGUCGCAGUUCUUAUUGCAUCAAUAAUAGUAACGGAAGCUACAUUAAAAGGAAUGGAUCCUAACACUGGGUUUACUGCGGAAUAUGGUUGCUAUAAAUCAUAUUGCUGGUCGUAUUGUUAUUUGCUUGGCAAAAUGUGGUGUUGGACAAAUA